This 333-nucleotide unclassified non-coding RNA is filed under the name soil metagenome. RNAcentral describes it as "partial contains 5.8S ribosomal RNA, internal transcribed spacer 2, and large subunit ribosomal RNA". The stretch from base 1 to 120 matches the Rfam family "5.8S ribosomal RNA", at positions 35 to 154 of the family's 154-position model. The record is from RNAcentral.
GAUGAAGAACGCAGCGAAAUGCGAUACGUAAUGUGAAUUGCAGAAUUCAGUGAAUCAUCGAGUCUUUGAACGCACAUUGCGCCCGCCAGUAUUCUGGCGGGCAUGCCUGUCCGAGCGUCAUUUCAACCAUCAAGCCCCGGGCUUGUGUUGGGGACCUGCGUCCGACGCAGGCCCUGAAAACCAGUGGCGGGCUCGCUGUCCACACCGAGCGUAGUAACUAACCUCGCUAUGGAGUGGCGCGGGCGCCUGCCGUAAAACCCCCAAUUUUUACAAGGUUGACCUCGGAUCAGGUAGGAAUACCCGCUGAACUUAAGCAUAUCAAUAAGCGGAGGA